GACAGAGGGUGCAAACGUUGUUCGGAAUCACUGGGCUUAAAGCGUGUGUAGGCGGACUUCUAAGUACCUUGUGAAAUCCCACGGCUCAACCGUGGAACUGCUUGGUAUACUGGUCGUCUUGAGCCAUCUAGGGGCUGUCGGAACAAAUGGUGGAGCGGUGAAAUGCGUAGAUAUCAUUUGGAACGCCAAAGGUGAAAACAGACAGCUGGGGAUGUGCUGACGCUGAGACACGAAAGCCAGGGGAGCGAACGGG
Molecule: ribosomal RNA, 253 nt
Filed under: uncultured bacterium
Lineage: Bacteria
Description: partial 16S ribosomal RNA
Rfam family: Bacterial small subunit ribosomal RNA
Source: RNAcentral